Molecule: ribosomal RNA, 571 nt
Filed under: Rhodotorula mucilaginosa
Lineage: Eukaryota; Fungi; Basidiomycota; Microbotryomycetes; Sporidiobolales; Sporidiobolaceae
Description: LSU rRNA
Rfam family: Eukaryotic large subunit ribosomal RNA
Source: RNAcentral
UGAGGAUCCCUAGUAGCGGCGAGCGAAGCGGGAAGAGCUCAAAUUUAUAAUCUGGCACCUUCGGUGUCCGAGUUGUAAUCUCUAGAAAUGUUUUCCGCGUUGGACCGCACACAAGUCUGUUGGAAUACAGCGGCAUAGUGGUGAGACCCCCGUAUAUGGUGCGGACGCCCAGCGCUUUGUGAUACAUUUUCGAAGAGUCGAGUUGUUUGGGAAUGCAGCUCAAAUUGGGUGGUAAAUUCCAUCUAAAGCUAAAUAUUGGCGAGAGACCGAUAGCGAACAAGUACCGUGAGGGAAAGAUGAAAAGCACUUUGGAAAGAGAGUUAACAGUACGUGAAAUUGUUGGAAGGGAAACGCUUGAAGUCAGACUUGCUUGCUGAGCAAUCGGUUUGCAGGCCAGCAUCAGUUUUCCGGGAUGGAUAAUGGUAGAGAGAAGGUAGCAGUUUCGGCUGUGUUAUAGCUCUCUGCUGGAUACAUCUUGGGGGACUGAGGAACGCAGUGUGCCUUUGGCGGGGGUUUCGACCUCUUCACACUUAGGAUGCUGGUGGAAUGGCUUUAAACGACCCGUCUUGAA